AGGACGAACGCUGGCGGCGUGCUUAACACAUGCAAGUGGAGCGACGAACCAGGGCUUGCCCUGGGGCAAAGCCGCGAACGGGUGAGUAACACGUGGGUAACCUGCCCCGAUGACCGGGACAACCCGAGGAAACUCGGGCUAAUACCGGAUGACUCCUUCAAGCUCAAGCCUGAAGGGAAAGGAGCUUCGGCCUCCGCAUUGGGAGGGGCCCGUGGCCCAUUAGCUUGUUGGUGAGGUAACGGCUCACCAAGGCUGCGAUGGGUAGCUGGUCUGAGAGGACGAUCAGCCACACUGGGACUGAGACACGGCCCAGACUCCUACGGGAGGCAGCAGUGGGGAAUCUUGCGCAAUGCGCGAAAGCGUGACGCAGCAACGCCGCGUGGGGAAGAAGGCCUCGGUUGUAACCCUUCAGGAGGACGAAGGCGUGGCGGUGAAUAGCCGACCGUACUGACGGUACCUCCACAAGAAGCCCGGCUAACUACGUGCCAGCAGCCGC
Molecule: ribosomal RNA, 496 nt
Filed under: uncultured bacterium
Lineage: Bacteria
Description: SSU rRNA
Rfam family: Bacterial small subunit ribosomal RNA
Source: RNAcentral